RNAcentral lists this ribosomal RNA (464 nucleotides) under uncultured bacterium. Its description in RNAcentral is "partial 16S ribosomal RNA". It matches the Rfam family "Bacterial small subunit ribosomal RNA", at positions 338 to 795 of the family's 1533-position model. The record is from RNAcentral.
CCUACGGGUGGCAGCAGUGGGGGAUCUUCCGCAAUGGGCGAAAGCCUGACGGAGCGACGCCGCGUGCUCGAAUGAGGGCCUUCGGGUUGUAAAGAUCUGUUGCCGGGGACAAAUACGCACUGCGAAUAGUUUUGUGUAUGACGGUCCCUGUUUAGGAAGCUCCGGCUAACUACGUGCCAGCAGCCGCGGUAAUACGUAGGGAGCAAGCGGUGUCCGGAAUUACUGGGCGUAAAGGGCGCGUAGGUGGGCGCGUAAGUCAGGUGUGAAAACUCCGGGCGCAACCUGGCGACUGCACUUGAAACUGGGUGUCUGGAGGGCAGGAGAGGAAAGUGGAAUUCCGGGUGUAGCGGUGAAAUGCGUAGAUAUAAGGAGGAACACCAGUGGCGAAGGCGGAUUGCUGGACAGUAACUGACGCUGAGGCGCGAAAGCGUGGGGAGCAAACAGGAUUAGAUACCCGAGUAGUC